GUUACCUCUUGGAAAACUACAGACCAAACCAGUCAGAGACAGCAAUGUGAGGACAUCAACAGAAAAUAAAAUGCUGUAAGAAGGCCUUUAUGUGCACAGAGAUGGUUACUAAAACAAGCUCAUAUUAGGCACGGUUCCUUGAAUUGUGCCCAAGCGUACUUUUAUCAUUAGGAUGCAUUUGUUUGAAGAAAACAAGAAGUAAAGGGCUCUCAAUGUGAGUCAAACAACUGCUCGACUGAGGAGUUGAAGAGAAAAGGGCAGCUGCACAAUUCUAAAAUUGUGAAGGCACUCUGUCAGUUACACAACUUGGAGGCAAAUUGUAGACACAAUCACCAGGAGCAG
Molecule: long non-coding RNA, 342 nt
Organism: Paramisgurnus dabryanus
Lineage: Eukaryota; Metazoa; Chordata; Actinopteri; Cypriniformes; Cobitidae
Source: RefSeq, a predicted model, not a curated record